UGGACCUGAUAUCAGCA
Molecule: ribosomal RNA, 17 nt
Filed under: Phytophthora ohioensis (nom. inval.)
Lineage: Eukaryota; Oomycota; Peronosporomycetes; Peronosporales; Peronosporaceae
Description: Phytophthora sp. 'ohioensis' partial 28S ribosomal RNA
Source: RNAcentral